UGUUGUAGAUGAAGAAUAGCGCAGCACCUCCCUAUAUGGACAACCUCCCAAACCAGAGCUCACGAGCUCGGCCACUAAAACCACCAGUUCCAUUGGCAGACAACAGGCCCAGAGCUUAAUACUACCUGUGACGUUUCCUUGGCAUGGUGAUGCGGAUGCGUUCUCUCCAGAUGCAGUUCGGGUUUGGACACAGCGUAAGCCCAGCUCCAAAGUGACAAAGAGGGCAGCGGCCGACUUUCACAUGAUGCAAAAGCUCUGGAAUGCGUUCCCACAAUCCUGGUCUGCGACUCUGCUGGGAACCAACAUGGGGAUGCCUUGGAGAUGCCCAGAAUGCACCAAAGCAAAGUCCAUAUAGCGCAAGGAGAUCUUGUGAACGCAUGAAAAGAUGGAGAAAACAGAUAAUUUGUUUCCACACAUGGGAACCAAUAUAAAGUCCCUAAAUGUAAAGAUUGCGCCAAAUCACGCAAAUUCCACCGAUCCCUGAGAAUUAUGAGCAAUUUUGUAGACCACCCGCAACUUCCCGUCACAUUUUGGAAAUCAGCGCCAUUUUUGCAAGUCAAAUUUGUGUAAUCAAACGUGUG
Long non-coding RNA from Nerophis ophidion (straightnose pipefish), 581 nucleotides. RefSeq lists it as uncharacterized. The record is from RefSeq and is a predicted model, not a curated record. NCBI's taxonomy places the organism in Eukaryota, Metazoa, Chordata, Actinopteri, Syngnathiformes, Syngnathidae. The transcript has 3 exons.